AAUAAUGGGAAGGCCACUGUACUGUCUGAAGCUACUAGAUUGUUGAAGGACGUGCUUGGACUGAUUGAGCGCCUCAAGAAGGAGAACGUAUCUCUAUUAUCUGAAUCUCACUAUGUAACAAUUGAGAAGAAUGAGCUGAAGGAAGAAAACUCUGCCCUAGAAUUUAGAAACUCAGAUUGAGGGAUUGCAAAAUGAGCUGGAAACAAGGGUGGCCCAAUCAAAACCUGACCUGAAUGUGCCUCCUCCCGAGUUUCACCAUCCUGGAUUGACACCACAUUUUCCAGGAGAGUCUCUGGGGUUGCCUGCAUCAGAUGCUACAUUACAGCAAGCACCCCAUCUCUUUGUCGUCCCCUUCCAUCCUGAUCUGCAAGCUUAUCCAUUGACUACUACAAAUGUGAGUAAACCACAUGCUAGGUAUCCAACACCUGCAGAUUCUUGGCCCUCCCAACUUCUUGAGGAGCAGCUAACAGCUGGGAAGGAAGUUAAGUAGCAACCUUAAUUUUUUUCAUCUAUCGGCAAGACUCUUUUGUAGAGUUGGUAUAUUGCGUAGCGGAUGUGAAUGACGGUAAAAUAUGGAUGGUUGAUCGUGAAUUUCUGCCUUAGAUUGGGGAUGGCGGGUUGGUGACCAAAUGUGAAAGUUUAGUUGGUGACCAAAUGACGAAACCUCGUCAGAA
Molecule: unclassified non-coding RNA, 674 nt
Filed under: Hevea brasiliensis (rubber tree)
Lineage: Eukaryota; Viridiplantae; Streptophyta; Magnoliopsida; Malpighiales; Euphorbiaceae
Source: RNAcentral